This 902-nucleotide long non-coding RNA is filed under the name Panax ginseng (ginseng). Its description in RNAcentral is "long non-coding RNA (PGIN_LNC016304)". Lineage: Eukaryota; Viridiplantae; Streptophyta; Magnoliopsida; Apiales; Araliaceae. The record is from RNAcentral.
AUUAAUUUACCCAUCUCUUAUUAAUAUUUAUUAGCCCACACAAAUUAAAUAACUAGUUUGACCCAACAUAAAUGACAAAGUCCAAUUAAUAUGUUUUAAAACAAAAUAAUUUUUAUUAUGCAAUAUUUAUUUAUUAAUUUUUUAUCGGGUAUUACAUCACCUACCCCUUAAAAAGGAUUCCGUCCCCGGAAUUAAAAGAAUGAAAAGUACCUAAUUAUAAAAAAGAUGUGGAUAUUCCGCUUGAAUAGACUCCUCCAUCUCCCAAGUAGCUUCCCGCUCUGUAACAAAAGGAAUUAUCUUCCUCAAUUUUAAUUUUAUCAGUUAUUUAAUUAUCUACUAAAAGAAUUUAAUCUUCCAAACAAAACAAGGAAGAAAAGAGGGAAACAAAAUCAUUUACCUUUUUUUUUAAUUUAAACACAAUUGUAUAAGAUAAAAUCAAUUAAUAUAUAAUAAUAAAAAAAUGAGUUAUUACAUUUUUCACCCCUUAAAAAUAAUUCCGUCCUCGGAAUUCAAAUAAGAUACAAAAAAUAAUAAUUUAGUUACGACGUAGCGCCGCCAUUUGUAACGAUCAAGCCUGGUAAGUCCAUAGGUCUACACAAUUAUCCAUGUACUCGUAAAAGAUUCGUCGGCUACCGUGUCAAGCCUUCGUAAGGUUCUUCACGUUAAAUCACAUGAUCCACUGUUGGUGCAGGCCCCCCCGUUAAUAUCUUAGAGUUUCAUUCUUGCAAGCGUACGUACUCUUCGGAACAUAAUUCGAAAUCAUAAACAUUUUUCUUCAUCUAAAUACGAUUCAAAUAACCAAAAUAUUUAAAAUUAUUUUUAACUCGUUAAAAUGUUUAUAUUCCACACAUGACAAAGAUCUAACAAAUUAUUUUUAUUUAAUUUUACAUAAAUUCACGNNN